AUAUAGAGAGAGAGAGAGAGAGAGAGAGAGAGAGAGAGAGAGAGAGAGAGUUGAGCUGGAAUACUAUAGGUAGCAAACAGGCUCCGUUGCCACCCAUUUGUUUUCGAUGAUGGAGCCUCCAAAUCAACGAUCGAUACCGUUGAAAAUGAUCUAUACCACUUGAAGUAUUUAUAAAUUAAAUUUCAUGCGUUUUCGAUAUUAUUCUCUUGUUCAUCAAGUGGGCGUAAAAAUGAACGGCUAAAAAUGAAUAUUCUUUAAAAUGUGAUGAUAGAAAUUUUGUAAUCAAGAUUGAGGGUAUAGAUCUUGUUCUAAAUAGUUUAAAAAAUUUUCUAACUAAAAUUCAAUAGAUUUGGAUAGCUUUACACCGUUAAACGAAAAAACGUCUCAUAUCGAUCAUUAAAAUUACAAAUGUUGAAACCCUUUGAUCAUUAGGUUAAUGACGUUAAAAAGAUUUGAAAUUUGAUUUCUAGAUAUUUCAAGUAGUAUCGAUCAUGUUCAACGGUGCCGAUCGUCGAUUUGAAGGCUCAUCAUCAAAAAUAAAUGGAUGACAAUGAAGCCCGUUUAUUACCGAUAGCAUUCUAGCUCAACUAUAUAUAUAUAUAUACACACACUAGUAGAAUGUACGUGCAAAUGCACAUAACAAUUAUUAUAAUUUAUUUCAAAUCAAUAUAAAUUUUUACAAUAUAUAUAUCCAAAAUUUUACAAUAAAAAUUAUAUUUAUAAAUUAAUAUAUUAUAUUUUAUUAAAAAAUAUUUAUAAUAUCCUACGGUAUUCUUUUUUUUAUAUACAUCAAAUAUUUUUAUAUACUUUUUUAUUUUUGAUGAAUCAAAUUUAAAUAUGUGUUUUAAACUAAAAGUAUCAAAAUUUAAUUCAUAUUUAUUUUAAAAUUUAAAAUUUAAUUUUGAUCCACUAUAAUAAAAAAAUUAAGUGUUAAUUCAAAUUUGAUAUUAAAAAUUAAAUUUAAUUCAUAAUUUAAACUCAAAUUUUAAUUUUAAUGUAAAAUAGAUAAAUAGGAAUGCUAUUUUCUAAUAAAUUGAUCGUAACCGUUUAUUUUUAUUUGAGAUAAUUUUUAACAAAUUGAUUAUAAUCGUUAGUAGGAUUGAAUUUAUAGAUAGAUAGGAAUGCUAUUUUUUAAUGGAUUGAUCAUAACCGUUUUUAUUUAAUAUAUAUUUUUAACAAAUUAAUCAUAACUAUUUGUAGAUUGAUCAUAAUCGUUCGUUUUUAUUUAAAAUAUUUUUAAUAAAUUAAUCAUAACUAUUCGUAGGGAAUAUUAUUUUAUUUUUUUUGGAUAUAAUAGAUAUUUAAUAGAUGGAUCAUAAUCGUUCAUUUUUAUUUGAGAUAUUUUUAACAAAUUAAUCCUAACCAUUCGUAAGGAAUAUUAUUUUAUUCUUUUUUAGAUUCCGUCUGCCAUUGUCGGAAUUCUUAUACGCUUAUAUAUAUAUAUAUAUAUAUAUAUAUAUAUAUAUAUAUAUAUAUAUAUAUAUAUAUANUUUAACUCUAAGGGUAUAUUUGAAAUAAAUUGGAACGUAAAAAUGGUAUUUUCAACAUUAGCCUUCUAAGAGGGGUAUAUUAAAAAGUCGAAGGCUUUUCAGGGAUAUAUAAACAAUUGUCUCUAAAUUUUAUAAUUUUUU
Molecule: long non-coding RNA, 1631 nt
Filed under: Ananas comosus (pineapple)
Lineage: Eukaryota; Viridiplantae; Streptophyta; Magnoliopsida; Poales; Bromeliaceae
Description: long non-coding RNA (ACOM_LNC007574)
Source: RNAcentral